GACAGAGGUGCCGAGCGUUAGGCGGAAUCACUGGGCUUAAAGCGUGUGUAGGCGGGCGAUCAAGUACCUUGUGAAAUCCCACGGCUCAACCGUGGAACCGCUGGGUAUACUGGUUGUCUUGAGCCGGCUAGGGGCGAGCGGAACAGACGGUGGAGCGGUGAAAUGCGUAGAUAUCAUGGGAACACCAAAGCGAAGGCAAGAGACUGGGCACUCCUGACACUGAAACACGAAAGCGUGGGUAGCGAAUGGG
RNAcentral lists this ribosomal RNA (250 nucleotides) under uncultured bacterium. RNAcentral's name for it is "partial 16S ribosomal RNA". It matches the Rfam family "Bacterial small subunit ribosomal RNA", at positions 524 to 776 of the family's 1533-position model. The record is from RNAcentral.